CCUACGGGAGGCAGCAGUAGGGAAUCUUCCACAAUGGGCGAAAGCCUGAUGGAGCAACGCCGCGUGGGUGAAGAAGGUCUUCGGAUCGUAAAACCCUGUUGUUAGAGAAGAAAGUGCGUGAGAGUAACUGUUCACGUUUCGACGGUAUCUAACCAGAAAGCCACGGCUAACUACGUGCCAGCAGCCGCGGUAAUACGUAGGUGGCAAGCGUUAUCCGGAUUUAUUGGGCGUAAAGGGAACGCAGGCGGUCUUUUAAGUCUGAUGUGAAAGCCUUCGGCUUAACCGGAGUAGUGCAUUGGAAACUGGGAGACGUGAGUGCAGAAGAGGAGAGUGGAACUCCAUGUGUAGCGGUGAAAUGCGUAGAUAUAUGGAAGAACACCAGUGGCGAAGGCGGCUCACUGGACUGUAACUGACGUUGAGGCUCGAAAGCGUGGGGAGCAAACAGGAUGAGAUACCCGGGUAGUC
Molecule: ribosomal RNA, 465 nt
Filed under: uncultured bacterium
Lineage: Bacteria
Description: partial 16S ribosomal RNA
Rfam family: Bacterial small subunit ribosomal RNA
Source: RNAcentral